GUACAAGCCCACAGGAUGGGUGAAACGCGUUUUCCAGUAGCCACAGCAGGGACCAAGGACUUUGGGAGUAUUUCUGUGAUCCUGUUAAUCCCAGACUUACCCAGGGACCUGGGCAGAGACCGCUCCACAGCUGCUACUCGGUGAGAUGAUCCAGUGACCAAAGCAUGUGCAGAAGGGAGAGACUUACCAAAUACAGAGGACCGCCGGAGAAGACUGCAUUGUUGGAGCCCUGGUUAUUGGAUCGCAUCACAAGAAAGGUUUACACAGGUUUGACUAACCAUGUUUCUAUAGCAGCAGCUCUAUCAUUAGAACAACAGCCCUCCUUGCGCCUGAUCCUAACCUCGGUUGAUUCUAUUUCUGCUUUUACAUAUACAAUUAUGUCUUGAAAUAAAAAGCACAUAUUUUUUUCUACACAAUUUCAUGUGCUUCAUUAUGAAAACUUUAUACUGUUUGAAAAAGUUCAGCCAUGUUGGUUGCAUAUUUAAAAAAAGUCAUAGGCAUUUUUUUACGCUUCUCAAAUGGAAAUGCUGACCUUGAUAUACAGUAUAUAGCAACAGAUGUGGUGCAUUUUGAUACUAUGGCGUUGCGUGGCACCACUACCAGGGGCACAUAUGCAACUUGGUGCAGGUUGAUGGAACCGGGGAGCCAUCUUCCUACCCCAAGUUGCAUGUGUGCCCCUGACUGUGGUGCCACUCAACGCCGUAGUAUCAAAAUGCACCACAUUUGUUGCUAUAUAUAGCAUUUUUGUUAUGUCAAAAAUGUAAUGAUGCAGAUGUGUUGCAUCAUGAAAACUUUAUACUGUUUGAAAAAGUUCAGCCAUGUUGUGUCUUCAAAUAAAAAGCACAUAUUUUUUUUAUGCAAUUUCAGUUUGCAAAAUAAAAAAUUUUGUUACACGACAA
Molecule: long non-coding RNA, 899 nt
Organism: Pseudophryne corroboree (corroboree frog)
Lineage: Eukaryota; Metazoa; Chordata; Amphibia; Anura; Myobatrachidae
Exons: 3
Source: RefSeq, a predicted model, not a curated record